UACUCCACGUUCUUUACUUUGGACCUCUGGCUGAAGGAGUAUUCUCUGGCUAAGGUGGCUCAGUUGGUAAAGAAUCCGCCUGCAAUGCAGGAGACCCCAGUUCAAUUCUUGGGUCAGGAAGAUCCACUGGAGAAGGGAUAGGCUACCCACUCCAGUAUUCUUGGGCUUCCCUUGUGGCUCAGCUGGUAGAGAAUCUGCCUGCAAUGCAAGAGGCCUGGGUUUGAUCCCUGGGUUGGGAAGAUCCCCUGGAGAAGGGAAAGGCUCCCCACUCCAGUGUUCUGGCCUGGAGAACUGCAUGGACGGUAUAGUCCAUGGGGUCGCAAAGAGUCUGACACAACUGAGCAACUUUCACUUUCACUUUCUUUUUCAAGGUACUCUUGGUAGUGGUUGCAAAGGGAAAAGGACAUGGUGGAGCUCCGAGAGCCUCUGCUUGGAAGUGAUGUCUAUCGUGUCUGCCUACAUUUCAUUGGCCAAAGCAAGUCACAUGGUCGCUCAGGAGUUGAACAGAGCUGAUGGGAAGCCUGUUUGAAAGGCUGUCCUGUGACCUAAAGACUGCUUUCUGCUGCAGAUGGCCAGAUGGGGCUACUAGCUGUCACUUACCUAGAGCUCCUUUUCCAAUAUCCAUCUACUUGCUGGGAUCUGAGGCUACUUAUUCACAUCAUCUCCUCCCGCACGGUUCAUUUGCUUGAAUGGACCGCAAUGAAUAAGACUGCUUGACUGGCUAGAAAUGGAUCUCACUGAAGAUGGUUUGGGGCUGGUCAUGGGCAAGUCCACAGAUACCAUGGUAUCACAAUGUUAGAAAGACAAGUAGUAUGAUGACUGAGCAUAGACCCUGGUGUCACACAGAUCUAGGUGUGAAUCAUGCAUACCUCACUUAGGAGCUAUGCAAACUUGAUUGAGUAACUUCUCUGCCCUUCAAAUUAUCUUUCCAUACAAUAAACGAAAUUCCACAACAGAUUUAGUACUUACC
RNAcentral lists this long non-coding RNA (970 nucleotides) under Bos indicus x Bos taurus (hybrid cattle). Its description in RNAcentral is "lncRNA (ENSBIXG00000007783.1)". The record is from RNAcentral. Lineage: Eukaryota; Metazoa; Chordata; Mammalia; Artiodactyla; Bovidae.